RNAcentral lists this long non-coding RNA (942 nucleotides) under Mus musculus (house mouse). Its description in RNAcentral is "long non-coding RNA chr6:89907676-89908618". Lineage: Eukaryota; Metazoa; Chordata; Mammalia; Rodentia; Muridae. The record is from RNAcentral.
AUGAAUAAAAACAAUACACUGUACUGUCGUGUUUACAUCAGAAAUGCAUUCUUCUCUGAGAUAGGCAUCGUGAUCCCAGCCAAAAGCUUCCUUCUCCUCUUCCAUACCUUCAUGUUCAUUUGUGGGCACAGGGCCAGACUCACUGACUUGCCCAUUGGUCUCAUGGCCCUAAUACACCUAGUGAUGCUGUUACUUGCAACAUAUAUAACCAGGAACUUUUUUAUGUCUUCAGGAGGAUGGGAUGACAUCACAUGUAAACUAUUCAUUUUCUUGCACAGGUUUUUCAGGAGCCUCUCUGUUUGUGCCACCUGCCUGUUGAGUAUCUACCAGGCCAUUAUCCUCUGCUCUCAAAGCUCUCACUUAGCAAAGUUCAAACACAAUUCCCCACAACAGCUCUUAUGUUUCUUUAUUUUACUGAGUAUCUUCUACAAAUCCAUCAGCAGUCAUACCUUCAUAGCAGGUAUUGCCCCAGGAAAUAUCAGCUCAAUUAAUCUUAUAUAUAUCAUGAAAUAUUGCUCUUUUCUACCCAUGAGUUCCUCAAUGCAGCACACCUUUUCUACACUGCUGGUUUUCAGGAAUGUCUUGCUUAUUGGUCUCAUGUGCCUCUCAACUUGCUACAUGGUGAUUCUCUUGUGCAGGCAUAAGACCCAGUCCCAGUGCCUUCAGAAAUUAAACCUUUCUCCAAAAGCAACGCCAGAGCAAAGAGCUCUGUGAACCAUUCUAAUGCUUAUGACCUUCUUUCUGGUGAUAUCAUGUUUUGACAGCAUCACAUCCUAUUCAAGUAUGAUAUUCCAGGAAAAUUCAUCGAUAUAUUGUGUCCAGAUUCUUGUAGCCCAUAGCUAUGCUUUGGUCAGUCCUCUGCUGGUUCUCAGUAAUGAAAAACAUAUAUAUAACCCAUUGAUAUCCAUGUAUGAGAUGAUAGUAAAGUUUGAUUUUCUGUGA